GACGAACGCUGGCGGCGUGCCUAAUACAUGCAAGUAGAACGCUGACGGAGGAGCUUGCUUCUCUGGAUGAGUUGCGAACGGGUGAGUAACGCGUAGGUAACCUGCCUGGUAGCGGGGGAUAACUAUUGGAAACGAUAGCUAAUACCGCAUAAGAGUAGAUGUCGCAUGACAUUUGCUUAAAAGGUGCAAUUGCAUCACUACCAGAUGGACCUGCGUUGUAUUAGCUAGUUGGUGAGGUAACGGCCCACCAAGGCAACGAUACAUAGCCGGCCUGAGAGGGUGAUCGGCCACACUGGGACUGGGACACGGCCCAGGCUUCUACGGGAGGCAGCAGUAGGGAAACUUCGGCAAUGGGCGGAAGUCUGACCGAGCAACGCCGCGUGAGUGAAGAAGGUUUUCGGGUCUGAAAGCUCUGUUGUAAGGGAAGAACGAGUGUGAGGGUGGAAAGUGCACACUGUGACGGUAUCUUACCAGAAAGGGACGGCUAACUACGUG
RNAcentral lists this ribosomal RNA (495 nucleotides) under uncultured bacterium. RNAcentral's name for it is "partial 16S ribosomal RNA". It matches the Rfam family "Bacterial small subunit ribosomal RNA", at positions 28 to 507 of the family's 1533-position model. The record is from RNAcentral.